Dendrobium catenatum is the source of this 1509-nucleotide RNA transcript. It is a transcript of the gene named protein ANTHESIS POMOTING FACTOR 1, with no coding region annotated. Lineage: Eukaryota; Viridiplantae; Streptophyta; Magnoliopsida; Asparagales; Orchidaceae. The record is from RefSeq and is a predicted model, not a curated record. The transcript is spliced from 12 exons.
GAUCCCCGAUAUUCUUGUUGUUUUGUUCCCUCUUAUAUUUACUCAACCAAAAAAAAAAUCUACCUGUAGGGUUUCUGAACAACCGAUGUUAAUAUCUUCGAUUGGGGACGAUCAUUCCUUAAACCCUUUCUGCCUCUUCUGAGAAAAUCUCAACUUUCACUAGGAACAUUCUUCUUCGCUGAAAUGCAUGGCGCGCAGCCUGAGAAAGAGGAGAGGGUUUCCAUGGAGCUGACGGACGAGGUGUUGAAAAGCAUGGAAGUUGGUAUGGCGUUCAGGGAUUAUAAUGGUAGAAUCACUUCAAUGGAUUUCCAUAAAGCUACGAGUUAUCUUGUGACGGCUAGUGCUGAUGAAUCAAUUCGUCUUUAUGAUAUACAGAAUGCAUUGUGCUUGAAGACCAUCAAUAGCAAAAAAUAUGGAGUUGAUUUGGUUUGCUUCACUUCUCAUCCAACAACAGUUAUAUACUCAUCCAAAAAUGGUUGGGAUGAAUCUCUUAGGCUCUUAUCUCUCAAUGAUAAUAAAUAUUUGCGGUACUUCAAAGGUCACCAUGAUAGGGUUGUUUCUCUUUCAUUGUGUCCCUGUAAAGAGUCUUUUGUGUCAGGUUCUCUUGAUAGAACCGUUUUGCUAUGGGAUCAACGAGCUGAGAAGUCUCAGGGCCUUCUACGCGUGCAAGGAAGACCUGCGGUUUCUUAUGAUGACCAAGGAAUGGUUUUUGCUAUUGCGUUUGGAGGAUUGAUAAGGAUGUUUGAUGCUCGAAAAUUUGAAAAGGGCCCAUUUGAUACAUAUUCUGUUGGAGCAGAUAAAUCUGAAGCCAAUGUACUAAAAUUUAGUAGUGAUGGAAGGCUCAUGCUUUUAACUACUAUGGAUGGGCAUAUUCACAUCCUUGACUCCUUCCGCGGUAAUCUUCUGUCUACUUAUAACGUAAAGUCAGUUUCAAGCCACGCAACUUUGGAGGCUUCUUUCAGUCCUGACGGAAUGUACAUUUUAUCAGGUAAGAGAAUUUUCACACAUCGUCUUAGCAACAAAGCUCUGGUGAUGGAAGUGUCUAUGCUUGGAGUGUCAGAAGUGGCAAGGUUGCCUGUUGGGCGAGUACUGACGUAGAACCACCGCUGAUAAAAUGGGCCCCAGGAAGCCUUAUGUUCACAACUGGAUCAUCUGAACUGUCAUUUUGGGUGCCUGACUUAUCCAAGUUGGGUUCUUUCGUGGGCUCGAAGUAAAGCAAAUAUGUGCGAUCUUCGUGAUCAACUUGGAAGUGACUUGCAGCUACUGAAGCUAUUUACACAUCAGGAGUUAGAAUUAAUUAGCAGACAAUCUGUUCUCUUCGUAUAUAUUAGGCUUAUCCAGUUUUCUAUUUUUCCACAGCUGUAUUAUUGUAUAUAGUAGGGUUAUUAUGUGUAUGGUAGUGGAGACAAUCAUUGCAAAUUUGUAAAUUAUACACAAGGUAAUUUAUGUGGUGUUAAAAAGAGAGGACAUGAGAAAAAACUCCCAAACAAGAAUAGUGUGUUCUGGACA